RNAcentral lists this ribosomal RNA (253 nucleotides) under uncultured bacterium. RNAcentral's name for it is "partial 16S ribosomal RNA". It matches the Rfam family "Bacterial small subunit ribosomal RNA", at positions 524 to 776 of the family's 1533-position model. The record is from RNAcentral.
UACGAAGGGGACUAGCGUUGUUCGGAAUUACUGGGCGUAAAGCGCACGUAGGCGGAUUGCUAAGUCUGGGGUGAAAUCUCGGGGCUCAACCUCGGAACUGCCUUUGAUACUGACAAUCUCGAGUCCGAUAGAGGUGGGUGGAAUUCCUAGUGUAGAGGUGAAAUUCGUAGAUAUUAGGAAGAACACCGGUGGCGAAGGCGGCUCACUGGUCCGGUACUGACGCUGAGGUGCGAAAGCGUGGGGAGCAAACAGG